This is a non-coding RNA of Podarcis lilfordi (Lilford's wall lizard), 1678 nucleotides long. The record is from the annotation of a GenBank genome assembly. NCBI's taxonomy places the organism in Eukaryota, Metazoa, Chordata, Lepidosauria, Squamata, Lacertidae.
GCCUAGAAUGUUGUUUUUGCUUCAAACAUUGCAAAUUUUGGACAAAAUGGAUUGCUUCAAGAAGUGGCAGAGAGCUAUCUCUAGAUUUGUCUGGCAGGGCAAGAAGCCCAGAAUAAAAUUUAAAAUAUUAACGGAUGCAAAGGAAAGAGGUGGAUUUGCCCUGCCAGACCUUAAACUUUAUUAUGAAUCAGCAGCUUUUUGCUGGCUGAAAGAAUGGCUGCUUCUUGAAAACACAGACAUUUUGGACUUAGAAGGUUUCAAUAAUGUAUUUGGAUGGCAUGCAUAUUUUUGGUAUGACAAGGUCAAAGCACAUAAAGCAUUUAAGAAUCAUAUUGUCAGGAAAGCAUUGUUUAAUGUCUGGAUAAGAUAUAAGGAUUUAUUGGAAAAUAAAACCCCAAGGUGGUUGUCACUGAUGGACGCGAAAGCAUAGAAAAAGCUCAAUAUGGAGGCCAAAUGGCCGAAAUAUUGGGAAAUUCUGGAACAAGAGGGAGAUAGAUUGAAACUGCAGAGUUUUGAGAAACUAAAAAACAAAGUGCGAGAUUGGCUUCAUUAUUAUCAGAUAAUGGAGGCAUAUAAUUCAGACAAGAAAAUUGGCUUCCAGGUGGAAAAAUCAAAAUUAGAAACAGAACUGUUAGAACCCAAAACUAAGACUUUGUCAAAGAUGUAUAACUUGCUGUUGAAAUGGAAUACUCAGGAUGAAACGGUGAAAUCUGCUAUGAUUAAAUGGGCACAAGAUGUUGGACAUAACAUAAUGAUGGCUGACUGGGAACAGUUAUGGACCACAGGUAUGAAGUUUACGGCAUGCAAUGCCUUAAGAGAGAAUAUUAUGAAAAUGAUAUACAGGUGGUACAUGACCCCAGUCAAGCUUGCAAAAAUUUAUCAUUUGCCCGAUAAUAAAUGUUGGAAAUGUAAAGAAACUGAAGGUACAUUCUUUCACCUUUGGUGGACGUGCCCAAGGAUUAAGGCUUUCUGGGAGAUGAUCUAUAAUGAAUUGAAAAAGGUAUUUAAAUAUACCUUCUUGAAGAAACCAGAGGCCUUUCUCCUGGGCAUAGUCGGCCAAUUGGUGUUAAAGAAGGAUAGAACUUUCUUUAUGUAUGCCACAACAGCAGCAAGAAUACUUAUUACAAAGUAUUGGAAGACACAAGAUCUACCCACUCUGGAAGAAUGGCAGAUGAAGGUGAUGGACUACAUGGAAUUGGCGGAAAUGACUGGCAGAAUCCGAGACCAGGGAGAAGAGUCGGUGGAAGAAGAUUGGAAGAAAUUUAAAGACUAUUUACAGAAAUAUUGUAAAAUUAAUGAAUGUUAGAAUGAUGUCAGAAUGAAGUUAAGUGGUUUUAGCAGCAAUGUCAUAAAGGUGUAUGUAAAAAUGGAUUGUUAAUAGGUGAGAAUCUAAAGCUAUAAUAUAUUAAGUUAAAGGACUAAGACAAAAACAAAGAGGGAAAGGAAUUGCUGAAUUAACCAAUUGAACUGGAAUACAAAAAAGGGAGGUGAGAGGAGGUCAGGGAAGCAAGGAAAUGAAAUGUAAGAUAUGGAAGGAUUAAUAUGUUUUUAAGUGUUUUUUUAUUUUUUUUCUGUACUUUGUAUUUUGUAUGUUUUUUCUCUUUUUUUAUAUUUUCCCUUGUUUCUUUUCUCUUUAACUAUGUAAUUUUGUGUUUCUGAAAUUUUAAUAAAUAUCAUU